GGGGAUGACGCACGGUGGAGUUGUGGCGGUAGUUGGAAGUUGGGACCCGGGAGUUUUAAAGUAGACGACGAUUGACAGGUAUUUAGGUGGUGAAUUAGAGCUGAGAGAUGCCCUCGUGAUUGACGCCUCAAGAAAAUUGAUGCGAAAAAGUGGUGAGGGUGUUGUUAGAGUCUUAAAAUCAAG
This is a long non-coding RNA of Sesamum indicum (sesame), 183 nucleotides long. RefSeq lists it as uncharacterized. The record is from RefSeq and is a predicted model, not a curated record. Lineage: Eukaryota; Viridiplantae; Streptophyta; Magnoliopsida; Lamiales; Pedaliaceae.